Molecule: unclassified non-coding RNA, 404 nt
Filed under: Cercozoa sp.
Lineage: Eukaryota; Cercozoa
Description: partial contains small subunit ribosomal RNA, internal transcribed spacer 1, and 5.8S ribosomal RNA
Rfam family: Eukaryotic small subunit ribosomal RNA (bases 1-47)
Source: RNAcentral
AAAGUCGUAACAAGGUUUCCGUAGGUGAACCUGCGGAAGGAUCAUUAACACGUAUCCAACGUUAAAACAACCCUGUGAACCUUAAGCUUGCUCGCGUUGCUAUGAAAGCAGCAAUCCCUGGUAAAUCAUUGUUGACCAGCUUUUGAGUCAGGGACUUCCGCCUAAUAGUUACGCUCGUAGCGAUCGUGGCAAGCGACCCGGCACCCAAAGCAAUCAGAGUCUGAAAGUGUCUUUGAUUGUAAGGGUGGCGCAGUAAACGAUCACUGGAGGCCGACACGGCCGGUGACCGGGUCCCUGGGUCCCCAUGCCCCUUUAUCACCACUCUACCAAUUUCUCUCGGUAGCGUUAAUUCCGUUACCAAAAAAACAACAGAACAACUGUUAACAAUGGAUAUCUUGGUUCUC